UAUCCGUAGGUGAACCUGCGGAAGGAUCAUUAACACAAAGCCACAUCUAAGCCAUUGUUCACUGUGCGGUCUAUUAAAAAAGCCUUAUAUACGUUCGUUACAGCAUUCUUUCUUUUUUUUUUUAAACUUUGUAACCGUUUAAUUACUGGUUGAAAUGAUCAUAUUUCUUACUCUUCGGGGAACAAGUUUUAUUACGACCCAAAGAACACUUCUUAGCAAAGGAUAUCUUGGUUCUCGCAUCGAUGAAUAACGCAACACAUCGGAAGACCCCACGUCAUU
This 279-nucleotide unclassified non-coding RNA is filed under the name plant metagenome. Its description in RNAcentral is "partial contains small subunit ribosomal RNA, internal transcribed spacer 1, and 5.8S ribosomal RNA". The record is from RNAcentral.